Molecule: long non-coding RNA, 226 nt
Filed under: Elaeis guineensis (African oil palm)
Lineage: Eukaryota; Viridiplantae; Streptophyta; Magnoliopsida; Arecales; Arecaceae
Description: long non-coding RNA (EGUI_LNC075326)
Source: RNAcentral
CCGCCACCUACUCUUCCAAAAACUACCAAGGCUGAGCUGCAGUCACCUGAGCUCGAAGCUAGAUUCUCUCUCCUACCUCAUUUUAAAAAAUCAUCGUAGUGAUCUCGUCCAUCUUGAUGGUGCUCUUCUUCUCUAGAAAAGCAUCAUCAAGGACUUAUACGAAGGGAGAAGCAAUGCUAACUAGACCAACGUCCUAGUCUUCUCCUCAACUUUCUCGUCAACACUG